AAAUUAAAAAAAAAAAAAAUUAAUUGUAUAAUUUUAAAUUUAAAUUUCUCAUUCGUUUUAAUUAAUAAUUUUAAAAAUAUUGAAUUGGAAUUUAAAAAUAUCCAAUCUAAAUCAAAUAAAAAAAAAAUAGAAGAUCAUUUGAUGAAGAAUUCUUAACUAAAAUCUUCUCUGCCAAAUUCCAGAUUACUCUUUCAUGCACAAUGC
This 204-nucleotide unclassified non-coding RNA is filed under the name Hevea brasiliensis (rubber tree). The record is from RNAcentral. Lineage: Eukaryota; Viridiplantae; Streptophyta; Magnoliopsida; Malpighiales; Euphorbiaceae.